GCAUAUCAAUAAGCGGAGGAAAAGAAACUAACAAGGAUUCCCCUAGUAACUGCGAGUGAAGCGGGAAGAGCUCAAAUUUAAAAUCUGGCGGUCUCUGGCCGUCCGAGUUGUAAUCUAGAGAAGUGCUGCCCGCGCUGGACCGUGUACAAGUCUCCUGGAAUGGAGCGUCAUAGAGGGUGAGAAUCCCGUCUCUGACACGGACUACCAGGGCUUUGUGGUACGCUCUCAAAGAGUCGAGUUGUUUGGGAAUGCAGCUCAAAAUGGGUGGUAAAUUCCAUCUAAAGCUAAAUAUUGGCGAGAGACCGAUAGCGAACAAGUACCGUGAGGGAAAGAUGAAAAGAACUUUGGAAAGAGAGUUAAACAGUACGUGAAAUUGCUGAAAGGGAAACGCUUGAAGUCAGUCGCGUUGGCCGGGGAUCAGCCUCGCUUUUGCGUGGUGUAUUUUCUGGUUGACGGGUCAGCAUCAAUUUUGACCGCUGGAAAAAGGCUUGGGGAAUGUGGCAGCUUCGGCUGUGUUAUAGCCCCUUGUCACAUACAGCGGUUGGGAUUGAGGAACUCAGCACGCCGCAAGGCCGGGUUUCGACCACGUUCGUGCUUAGGAUGCUGGCAUAAUGGCUUUAAGCGACCCGUCUUGAAACACGGACCAAGGAGUCUAACAUGCCUGCGAGUGUUUGGGUGGAAAACCCGAGCGCGUAAUGAAAGUGAAAGUUGAGAUCCCUGUCGUGGGGAGCAUCGACGCCCGGACCAGAACUUUUGGGACGGAUCCGCGGUAGAGCAUGUAUGUUGGG
Molecule: ribosomal RNA, 788 nt
Filed under: Macrolepiota clelandii
Lineage: Eukaryota; Fungi; Basidiomycota; Agaricomycetes; Agaricales; Agaricaceae
Description: partial large subunit ribosomal RNA
Rfam family: Eukaryotic large subunit ribosomal RNA
Source: RNAcentral